GAUGAACGCUGGCGGCGUGCCUAAUACAUGCAAGUCGAGCGAACAGAUGAGGAGCUUGCUCCUCUGACGUUAGCGGCGGACGGGUGAGUAACACGUGGAUAACCUACCUAUAAGACUGGGAUAACUUCGGGAAACCGGAGCUAAUACCGGAUAAUAUAUUGAACCGCAUGGUUCAAUCGUGAAAGAAGGUUUUGCUGUCACUUAUAGAUGGAUCCGCGCCGCAUUAGCUAGUUGGUAAGGUAACGGCUUACCAAGGCAACGAUGCGUAGCCGACCUGAGAGGGUGAUCCGCCACACUGGAACUGAGACACGGUCCAGACUCCUACGGGAGGCAGCAGUAGGGAAUCUUCCGCAAUGGGCGAAAGCCGGACGGAGCAACGCCGCGUGAGUGAUGAAGGACUUCGGAUCGGAGAGCUCUGUUAGUAGGGAAGAACAAAUGUGUAAGUAACUAUGCACGUCUUGACGGUACCUAAUCAGAAAGCCACGGCUAACUACGUG
Molecule: ribosomal RNA, 497 nt
Filed under: uncultured bacterium
Lineage: Bacteria
Description: partial 16S ribosomal RNA
Rfam family: Bacterial small subunit ribosomal RNA
Source: RNAcentral